This 459-nucleotide ribosomal RNA is filed under the name uncultured bacterium. RNAcentral's name for it is "partial 16S ribosomal RNA". It matches the Rfam family "Bacterial small subunit ribosomal RNA", at positions 338 to 795 of the family's 1533-position model. The record is from RNAcentral.
CCUACGGGGUGCAGCAGUGAGGAAUAUUGGUCAAUGGGAGAGAUCCUGAACCAGCCAAGCCGCGUGAGGGAAGACGGCCCUAUGGGUUGUAAACCUCUUUUGUCGGAGAACAAAACCCGGGACGUGUCCCGGACUGCGUGUAUCCGACGAAAAAGCAUCGGCUAACUCCGUGCCAGCAGCCGCGGUAAUACGGAGGAUGCGAGCGUUAUCCGGAUUUAUUGGGUUUAAAGGGUGCGUAGGCGGUCCGUUAAGUCAGCGGGAAAAUUGCGGGGCUAAACCCCGUCGAGCCGUUGAAACUGGCAGACUUGAGUUGGCGAGAAGUACGCGGAAUGCGCGGUGUAGCGGUGAAAUGCAUAGAUAUCGCGCAGAACUCCGAUUGCGAAGGCAGCGUACCGGCGCCAGACUGACGCUGAGGCACGAAAGCGUGGGGAUCGAACAGGAUUAGAUACCCGGGUAGUC